Long non-coding RNA from Passer domesticus (house sparrow), 324 nucleotides. RefSeq lists it as uncharacterized. The transcript is spliced from 3 exons. The record is from RefSeq and is a predicted model, not a curated record. NCBI's taxonomy places the organism in Eukaryota, Metazoa, Chordata, Aves, Passeriformes, Passeridae.
UCUCCUACUCAGAUAUUUAUUCCUGGAUAAUGGUACCCCAAUACCCAGCUCCCUCGCCCUGCAGCUGGCUGAGGCGCUCCUGCCACUCUUUGACCGCGAUGAUAGCCAGGUGCAGCUGAGCUCCAUGAUGGUCUUUCAAGAAAUGCUGGAGUUAUUAACGGAAGAUGGAAAACAUGCCCUGAAGUCACCCGUGCACCACAGCCUGCUGCCACUCUACUUCCACUGCCAUGAUGAGAAUCAGAUUGUUGCUGAGUGUUCUCGGGAAACGCUGCUUUGUGCAGCCAAGUUCCUGAAGAGGAGGGAUAUAAAAAAGCUGGUGAAGGA